AUUCACUAAAUGACCUACAGCUAAUCAUUGGUAGACUGUUUAUUUGUGUCAAAAUAGAAUAUGUAUAUUGGUCUGUCUCUUCAGAUACUUGGAAGAUAUCAAGGUAUGGCUUUUUGGGACAAGGAUAAUGAACUAAUGUCCUGGAGAGUGAGCAUAAAUGUCAAGAGAAGAGAAUAUAUAGAGAAAACAGAAUUCCUAUGGCCUAAAUGCUCAUAUAAUGAGGUCACAUUGAACCAAGUUUUUAAUGGGAGUCCUCAAAUGUAAGAAACAGAUUUUUAUUUUAACAUCCUGAAGGAAGAAGACAGCAAUUGGUUAUCCAGUAACAAAUGGAACUGUCAUACUGAUUAAAGGAUGAAGUUUUUCAUUGGAGAGGAAUAGAAGAUAUUUUGUUUUUGCUUUUUUUUUUUUUUACUUUUGCUUUUAGAUUAUGGAAAUAUUACCAAGAGUGGCUCAUGGUAGAGUUCUCAGGGUAAAACAAACAUGGGGUUGGUUGUAUGCAUAAAGAGAUGGAUGAGAUGAUUAGGUGAAAUGACAACUAGGUAUAUUUUCUGCAUAAAAAUUGCCAUUGUAGUACUUUCUUCAACAUUUUACUUAUUAUAAUAAGUAAAUCACUCACUCCUACAGUAUACAGGAAUAUUGCCCUCUUAAUCCUUUUCUUCUUCCCUGGCUUGCAAAUUGUUCCUCAGCAUGUAAAAAUAUUACACUGGAAAUAUUGUGGCUUUCUUCUAGCUUCUGUACUAUUUGUGUACCAUAUUUUCAGGAUUUAUAAACUCCUAGGAUUCUCUGCUUUAAACUGCACUAAGCAGGAACUUAAGAAAAUCAAAAUAUCCCAAUAAGGCAUCAAGUCCCAUUGCAUUGCCUCCAGCCACAUCUAACCAUUUAGUACCACACACAGGACACACAUGCUCACUAAG
This is a long non-coding RNA of Grammomys surdaster, 914 nucleotides long. RefSeq lists it as uncharacterized. The record is from RefSeq and is a predicted model, not a curated record. Lineage: Eukaryota; Metazoa; Chordata; Mammalia; Rodentia; Muridae. The transcript is spliced from 4 exons.